AGACAUUACAAAUUAAGGAUUCCAACACAUUCAAGCAAUCCCUGGACAAGGAUUCAAUAUUUCAGAUCUUGAAGUCAUUUGUUUGUUUGUUGUGUAGCUGUUUUGAAGAUGGAUUCAAAGUAGCACAAAAYUCUGAAGCUAAAAUAUUUCUUAGUGAUUUUAAGGCUGAUGAUAAUUCCAAGUUGACAAGAAGAUGGAAGUGAAUCCAGUGAAGUACAGUUCAGUCAAUACUUACCCAAUGUUUAGAAGUGAUGACAAGGAUCUAAAGUGUGGCUACCUACAGCAAAAUCUCCGGUUGAGUUUUGACCCACAGGAGAUCAACAGUAUUGUUGAGGAAUUGCACAAGAUUCAGCCGUCAAGAAGGGUUCACUUACAGAAUUUGACCUGCAUGACAUACAAGGCGUACAUUGAUGACAUCMAAGACCCUCUUCUACAAGAAAUAUUACACAUCAUGUUUUCCAAAACCAUGCAGUGUGCUUCAAAAAAGAAUCCUCUUCAAGAUCAUUUUCAUGCUGCAGCCGUAUUGGCUGGAACAAUACAUUUUUGCCCAUCCAGCCUCACAUUCAAUCACACUUCAGGAUGAAUUUCAAUAUUAUAUAUACAGAAAGAAAAAGGUUUGAAAGGUACUUUCAUCACACAAGAUAAUGGUGUUAGUUAGGCGAACAAAAGGAACUACAAAAACUUGUCAUCACUAACCACCACCACAAAGUACAGCAGUGGCGCAGGCCAAAGGGGUCAAACUCAGUACUACAGCGCAGGUCAAAGGGGUCGAACUCAGUACUAUACUGAAAGCAUGUGAAAGGAUAAUGUUAGUAGUGGUAUCAAGAUGUAGUAAUGGCUAUGGAAAACUCUUUACAGCUGCAUGUUGUAUGUAACUAAGCAUGGCUUACUAACCCCUAACUAACUCCCAAGUAGGAACUAGCUCAUUAUACCCUUAAUAUUCAUGGUAGCGAAAGUGUGUGGUAGCGAAACAACCGGUUACCUAUUCAUGUGUUGUCAGUGUACCACUAAYCCCUAAGUAGGAACUAGCUCAUUAUACCCUUAAUAGUCAUGUGUUUUGGGUGUAUCACUAACCC
Actinia tenebrosa (Australian red waratah sea anemone) is the source of this 1076-nucleotide long non-coding RNA. The record is from RefSeq and is a predicted model, not a curated record. NCBI's taxonomy places the organism in Eukaryota, Metazoa, Cnidaria, Anthozoa, Actiniaria, Actiniidae.